UAGGUUAUGAGCUGAAAAAUUCCUUGACUUUCAAUUAUGAUAGUCGUGGGCUAUCUUAUUUGUUGGUUGUGUUCAUUCAGCUUCCUAUAUUUGUUAUUGGUACAGGUUUGGUCACUUGGUUGAUCUAUAUGCUUGGAAUCCACAUUGUAGAUACUUGGAUGGAAUUGGUCCUCCAGGUUCUGGUAUGUACAAAUGCAACACCAUUGAUAAGAAUUAUAUGCUUCUAUGACUGAAAAAAAAAAGCAGAACAAAUGGAUUAAAUUAUUAAAACACCAAGUGGAAGUAUCACAAAUGGUUCCUAAAAUUUUAAAAACUACUGUUUUGUAGUUGCACUAAAUAGGACCAUUGCUUGCAUGACUUCACUCUUGUUCACUAAGCACAUCUUCCUUGAUACUUAUACCUUUUAUUCAGAUGUUCAUGCAAUUCUUUUAGGUGUUUUGUACAUAAAGAGAAUUGCUUAUGUGGAACAUUUGUAUUCUUCUAUAUACAUUUUUUAUUGUCAUAUUGCUUGUCUUUUCCUAUUGAACAUUAUUUAGUUUGCUUACUUAUUAAUAUCCUUCAUAGUUUACUCACUUUGGCCAUAUAAAUAAUAAUAAUAUCUUGUUUUGAACCGUACACAAGGUGGUCCGUUAUUUUAUUCCUUUAGCUUAGCCAUGAAAAAUCAAGGUUCACGUUUGAUAUUAAUCUCUUCUGACUUUGCUCCUUAAUUUUUUUAUCAGUUUUUGUAAAAUAAUUUAUCUUUGUCCUACAAAUCCCAAUUUAAAAUUGAUGUAACUUUACAUAUGAAAGUGGAUCCCAAAAUGAUUAAGUAGUGAUUGGAUUUUGGCAUGUGUAUGAUGCGUUUUAAAUUACUUUAAGAUGGCUUCAUUCACAUUGGAAGAAAGGGAUGUGUCAAAAUUAAUUAAGACAUCUGUUAUUAGUAUACUACAGGACAAGUAGAGAGAUAAGUGCUUUUUAUGCUAACAUUGUUGGAGUACAAGUGUGAGGUGAAGUCCCACAUUGGGUAGAAGUAGAAAAGUUGAGUACCAUAUAAAUGAGAAGAAGACCCAUAAACCUGAGUUCCCUUAUGUGAUGACUCGUGGUCCACCGGUGUGAAUCUCCCUGGUGUUUACUCCCCUCAAAUCUCCCCAACAACUGGUAUCAGAGCCGAUAAGCAUCAUUUCCAAUUCGGCUACAAACCAAAACUAAAGAUAUUAUUUAUAAUGAGAUUCUUCUUAACAACUUUUUUAAUGUCCUUCUUAAUUUCCCUCUCCCCUUUUACAUAGAAAUAAAAACCAUGAAAUCUACUCGUGUGUUUCUCGUCGCCUUUGUACGUGUCCAGACUACUUUACCUUGAUUUUCUGCUUUCCCCCCCUUAAAUUAGUGCAAUAUCAAUAUUAUAUGAUAAAACUUGCUCUUGAGCUUUGAUAGGUACUAUGCAACCACAAAUAACCUCAAAUACUUUUCUCCAUUUUUGUUAUCCUGUUUAUAUCUUCUGUGUGACAUCUUUAUUAAUUUCCUCGUCAUUUUGUAGUAUUGAUCCCAAAUAUUUAAACUAAGAAACUGGUGGCAUGACAUCUCCCAAUUUUACUUCAAGUCAUAUUCCUCUUGCCUCUUACAAAAAUUGCAAUAAUAUACUUUGUUUUACUCCUACUUAAGCGAGAAUCCUUUGUUUUUAAAGUUUUCUUCAAAGCUCAAGUUUAAAGUUAACAACUUUCCUUAAUUCAAAACUAUAUCAUCCACAAAAAACAUGCAAUCAGGGAUAAUCUUUUGUAUGUCCCUAGUAAGCACACCCAAGACUAAAUUAAAGAAAUAAGGACUUAAGGUUGAGCCUUGGUGUACGCCUACCCCUGUCGAGAAGUUCUUAGUCUCGUCUCCUGGAGUUAUCACACUAGUAGUUUCCCUAUCAUGCCUGACUUAUAUAGUUCAGAUGUAAGUCACAGAAACACCUUUCUUUUCCAAAGUCUUUCUAUUUGUGACCUUGAACUCCCUUCUUAAGUGAUUUAAUGUUCCUCCUCCUUCUUGAAACAAGUGUUCAUAAUCCUAAAAUCGUAAGUAAUAGAGAAAUCAAGAAUAAACUGUCAUUCCUUAUUUACUUCUCUAAAACUAGAACCACCAUGGGCUUCUAUAAAUUGCCUUGUCUCACUACGAAUAUGUUCUUUUAGAUCCCUUCCUGAGAAAAUCUUUUCUUCUUGGGGAGUUCCUUGAACCAAUCCCACCAAAUUUUCCCAAUACUUUUCUUUAUAAGUGCUUGUAAUCCUACUUGUGAUGCUUAAGUACUGAUGAUGUUGGUGGUCUCCUAUGCAACCAGUAAUUUUAAGGCUAACAUUGUGUCCAAUUCAUCUUGCAUCCCCUAGACUAUUUCUAAUACUUGUCUGCAAUAAUACCACACCAUUCUUUUCUCUAAUUUAAAUCCUAUAGUACCUAACUCCUUGGUCUCUUGUAGGCACAUAAUGUUACUCCUCCUUUGAAUUAUGGAUCUGCCACCUUCAUGAACUUACCUGUCAAAGUCCCAGUAUUCUAAGUAGCAAAAAGCUUUGAACUUCUUUAUCCACAUCCAUUCAAGAAAUUGUGAGGACUCUUGACCAUUUAACACUAUAUCCGAGCACUUUAUGUCCUGACUCUAAAUCAUUUGACUUUGUAUUCAAGCCAUACAAUGCCUUACUUAAUCGAGUAACUUUUGAAUUUAAUCUCUUAUGAGAAUCAUGAAUUAAGUUUAUGUUGGUAAAUUCUGUACAAGGAAUUGUUAAGACACUUUGUUGGUCAAUUAAAGCUCGUUUUGUGGUCAAAUGUGAUAUGAUAAGAUAAAAUAUAAGAGCAGUAUAAGAACUUUAAAAGAUAAAAGUAGGAUAAGCUUUAAUACUAUUCAAUGUUACACCAUCAUAUAGACUAGAUAACGAUAGGUGGUGGUUGUGUCGGCAACGAUAACCGUGAUAAUAGCGGUGACAAUAAUAAUAACGAUGGUGGUGGCGAUGAUGGUAUUGAUGGUGGUGAUAAUGGUGGCAAUGGCGAUAGCGGCGACAAUGAAGGCAACAACAAUGACGGUGGUGGUGGCGGCGACGAUGGUGGCGACAAUGGUAGGAGUGACAACGCCAGUGAUGGUGGUGUGAUGGUUGUCAUGGUGGAGAAGCGAUGAUGGUGGUGAAGAUGGUGAUGAUGGUGGUGGCGAUGAUGACAGUGAUAGUGAUGGGGUUGGUGAGGGCAACUAUCCUAUUCUGUUGCUCUCUAACCAAUUCACCCCCUCAGGAUAAGAAAUACACUGCAUCAUUAAGAUAGAGUAGGAAAUAGGGUAAGGAAAUCAUAUCCUACUAGUGCACCAAACAAUUUAUUACAACAGCCUAAGAUAGUUAUCCUAUCCUAUUAUACCAUAUUCUAACUACCAAACAACAAAAUUUCCAUUGCUUCAUAAGUUUUGAAUAGAAUGACAAUGCAUCUCUUUUUUAAAGAGUUAGAAAUCUGUAAGGAAAGACAUUUUCCCCAAGGCAAUUAAUUUUUUCUUUUAUGUAUUAUGACUUGCCGUGUUGUGGGUUAUAUAUAAUAUUGUUUUCAACCCCUUCAUUUUGUUGAUACUUGAUCACUUCUAAGUUAUAUUAUAGACUGACCCUUUUUCUGUUGUCAGCUAAUGAUUCAAGUGCGCAGAAUGACUGGAAAGGUGCUUGGUGGCAUAGCAGCUUCACAGUUCACUCAGGUGUCUGAUUCAUUUAUUUAUAGAUCAAAAAAUAAUAUGUCAUAUCAAUUAACUGUAGUUGGAGGCUGAAUCCAGACUGAAAUUUUGGUUGGUAGUGACAGGAAUCUCAAAACAAUAUUUUCUGAGCAGUAGUUAAAAUGUGUUUCCUUAUAUAUCUAUAUACUACUUAUGAAGUGAAUGGUUCGUAUAUGAGAUCAAAGCAUGCCUUGUACUAAGCUUCAUUUAUAAAUUUUGUUUUAAGAUAUGUCAACAUGACUUCAAAAUUUUUCAUAUAUGUUAGUGCCAGUUGCUUUCAAUUAUAUAUAAAUGGUGCCAUCUUGGAGGGUUAAUCCCCCACUAAGUGCCAAAAGUUCAGUGAUCCAUUAAAGGACAACCCGCUUUGUUUCUUAUGGCUUCUUGCCUUACAAUUUUUUUUUAAGAGUAAUUCAUUUUUCAUCCUCCAUAGUUUCAAGCCUUGUCACUUUAGUCUCUCAAUUAUUCAAGGUAUCAUCAAAUCGAUCCUUCUUUGAUGAUAUUUUGCUUGAUCAAGAGACUAAAUUGAUGAUAUUUUGUAUUGUUUAGGGACUAAUUGAUGUUUGAAAUAUUUGGAGUGUCAAAGUGAUGACUCUUAGCACUGUUGAGGGAUUAAUUUGAUGAUAAAAAUCUUGAGGAUCAAAUUGACGACACUUAUUUGCUUGGAGGACAAAAGUAGGGAUUUACUCUAUUUUUUUAUGUUAAAGCAUAUUUUGGAUUCUAUAUUUCUAGUGCAUGAGUGUUGUCAAAUACUGAGUCAUUGACUCAAUUAGGUGCGGAGUCACCGUUUCAAAAAGUAAUUGAUUUACUGGUUGAACCAUAUGUAUGUGUAAUUAAUCUGAUAAUAGGAACAUUAUAACUAACAUGGAGUUCUGGUGAAAUGGUUUAUGUUAAUUGAGCUGUUAAUUAUUAGGUUGUAGGUUAAAAUUAUUAGCUCAUAGAUUCAAAUUUUGUCUGGAACUUUACACUAAAUGUUUUACAAAACCAGUAAAAAUCAUUAACUUCAUACUAGUUCAUACUGGUUGCAACUUGCAACCUUGUGUAUGCAAUAUGAACAUCUGCCUCAAAUACAGUACCUUAAAUUUGAUCUCUCUGCUUUGUUUUGCACUGUCAUUUAGUUAGUUUGCAUUUUUAUUUUCUCAUAUUGGUACUCACAUGCUUCUCUGUAACAGGAUUCGUAGAGGAUGAGAGUCCAUAUGCAGAUAAUGGAAAAAAGGGCACAUACUUUUUUGAAUUCUCGAGGUCUUUGAGGACUAUGGAUCAUCUUCAACAGGUUGGAACUUAGAAAGUAAUUUGAUAUUCAUAAGUUUUAUAGGCUAAGAGUUUGCAUUGAUUUUUUCAGAUUUUUUUCCCAAUUAGCUGAAUUUUUUGUUCACAAGUUCUUUUUCGAUUAAUUUUUGGGAUCAUUUGUAAAUCUAAUGGAUUGUGGAUGAAAAAACAUAUGAAAUUAUUUAUCAAUUUUAAUCAAUGUUGGCGUAGAGUACCCCAAGUCAUGUGAUAAACAUUCCUUUUUAACUAGGUCUCUGUGUUGUUUGUUGUUGAAACAAGUUUGACUUUUGAACUUGUACUGGAUUGUUUGUAUUACCUUGUUUCCCAAUGCAAACUUGCCUUCUGAAUGUAUAUUUCUUAACCAUGGCCAAAAGCUUAAAACAAACAAGAUUGAGAUCACUAACUCUUUUUUCUUGUAUUUUGUUUGGGGUGGGGGCAUGGAUGAAAAAGAUCUUUUCAAAUAUAAUAAAUGUGAUUGUAGGGAUCUUCUGAAUCACGUGGUUUUUGUUUUAACAUGUGGUUAUUGUGUUUAUCUUUGAGUUUCUUCCUAUCCAGGGACUCAUCUUGUAGCUUGAAACUAAAUAUAUUUUUGUUUUAGUAGCAUUGUACCAAAUAGUAAAUAUAUUCCUGAAUAUCAUUUAUAAGAUAACAAGCAAGUAAAAUGAUGUAAAAUAAUACCUUGCAGGACGUGCAAUUUAACAUUGGUGGAUCCAGUAAGAUGUCUGUUGCAUUCUGGUAUCCAGUAGAUGGUCAACCUUGGCAUGGUUCUGGGCACUACUCUGUUUACUGUGAUUGGGUUCCCAUUGACAUAUCUGUUGGUAAA
This 5771-nucleotide long non-coding RNA is filed under the name Glycine max (soybean). RNAcentral describes it as "long non-coding RNA (GMAX_LNC000252)". Lineage: Eukaryota; Viridiplantae; Streptophyta; Magnoliopsida; Fabales; Fabaceae. The record is from RNAcentral.